UCUGCCGUGGGCGUUGGAAAUUUGAAGGGGGCUGCUCCUAGUACGAGAGGACCGGAGUGGACGAACCUCUGGUGUACCGGUUGUCACGCCAGUGGCAUUGCCGGGUAGCUAAGUUCGGAAGAGAUAACCGCUGAAAGCAUCUAAGCGGGAAACUUGCCUUGAGAUGAGAUUUCCCAGAGCCUUGAGCUCUUUGAAGGGUCGUUCGAGACCAGGACGUUGAUAGGCUGGGUGUGGAAGUGCAGUAAUGCAUUAAGCUAACCAGUACUAAUUGCCCGUACGGCUUGUCCC
This 288-nucleotide ribosomal RNA is filed under the name Zoogloea ramigera. RNAcentral's name for it is "partial 23S ribosomal RNA". It matches the Rfam family "Bacterial large subunit ribosomal RNA", at positions 2641 to 2925 of the family's 2925-position model. The record is from RNAcentral. Lineage: Bacteria; Pseudomonadati; Pseudomonadota; Betaproteobacteria; Rhodocyclales; Zoogloeaceae.